This 62-nucleotide transfer RNA is filed under the name Iolania perkinsi. Its description in RNAcentral is "tRNA-Phe". The record is from RNAcentral. Lineage: Eukaryota; Metazoa; Arthropoda; Insecta; Hemiptera; Cixiidae.
AUUUGGGUAGCUUAAUUAAAAGUUUAACAUUGAAAAUGUUAAGAUAAUUUUAUUUCCAGAUA